UACCUUUGUUUUCGUUGCCUCGGCGGUUCGCGCCGCCGGGUGACACCCAAACUCUGAUUUGAUAUAGCAAGUCUUUCUGAGUAAAACAUUCUAAAUGAAUCAAAACUUUCAACAACGGAUCUCUUGGUUCUGGCAUCGAUGAAGAACGCAGCGAAAUGCGAUAAGUAAUGUGAAUUGCAGAAUUCAGUGAAUCAUCGAAUCUUUGAACGCACAUUGCGCCCGCCAGUAUUCUGGCGGGCAUGCCUGUUCGAGCGUCAUUUCAACCCUCAAGACCCCUUCGGGGGACUUGGUGUUGGGGACCGGCACAGGGCCUGCUUGCUUGUCUCGCAGCGCCUCGCCGCCUCCGAAAUGAAUUGGCGGCCUCGUCGCGGCCUCCUCUGCGUAGUAGCACAACCUCGCAACGGGAGCGUGACGCGGCCACUGCCGUAAAACAACCCAAUUUUAUUAGAGUUGACCUCGAAUCAGGUAGGAAUACCCGCUGAACUUAAGCAU
RNAcentral lists this ribosomal RNA (492 nucleotides) under Marquandomyces marquandii. RNAcentral's name for it is "eukaryotic LSU rRNA". The stretch from base 104 to 257 matches the Rfam family "5.8S ribosomal RNA". Lineage: Eukaryota; Fungi; Ascomycota; Sordariomycetes; Hypocreales; Clavicipitaceae. The record is from RNAcentral.